RNAcentral lists this unclassified non-coding RNA (391 nucleotides) under soil metagenome. RNAcentral's name for it is "partial contains 5.8S ribosomal RNA, internal transcribed spacer 2, and large subunit ribosomal RNA". The stretch from base 1 to 122 matches the Rfam family "5.8S ribosomal RNA", at positions 35 to 154 of the family's 154-position model. The record is from RNAcentral.
GAUGAAGAACGUAGCGAAAUGCGAUACUUGGUGUGAAUUGCAGAAUCCCGUGAACCAUCGAGUCUUUGAACGCAAGUUGCGCCCGAAGCCAUUAGGCCGAGGGCACGCCUGCCUGGGCGUCACACGUCGUUGCCCCCCCAUCUACUCCUUCGGGAUUGCGGGGGGCGGAUGAUGACCUCCCGUGCGCCUCGUCGCGCGGUUGGCAUAAAUGCCAAGUCCUCGGCGACGCACGCCACGACAAUCGGUGGUUGCGAAACCUCGGUUGCCCGUCGUGUGCGGUCGUCGCGCAUCGAGGGCUCGAAAAAAUUGCCGGGCUCCGGCUCGGCUUUCAACGCGACCCCAGGUCAGGCGGGGUUACCCGCUGAAUUUAAGCAUAUCAAUAAGCGGAGGA